RNAcentral lists this long non-coding RNA (1480 nucleotides) under Homo sapiens (human). Its description in RNAcentral is "HSALNT0335856". The record is from RNAcentral. Lineage: Eukaryota; Metazoa; Chordata; Mammalia; Primates; Hominidae.
CAGAAGCUGCGGAGAGGCCGUGUCGGUCAAGGGACUUCCGCCCCACUGGCUGUCAUGAUCAGAUUCCGAUCUUUCUGUGUGAAAUCCCGAAUACUGAAACCGAGUAGGGGAGAAAAGUCCAUUUCAAAAAUCAAUCGAUCAGUAAGAGAAAACAAACAAACAAAAAACAGCCUUUAUUUACUCUACAAGCACCCUUAAGGUCUCAUUGUCCUGAGGUCGUCAAAAUAACCGUUGCUUUGGCAUCAUGGCUGUGCACACCUAACUUGGAAUUACUUAAUUCAUUAUGAUGCUUCCAAAGAAAAUCCUUUUGGUUGAUGAAAGCAGGAGAUAAAGAUAAUAAUGGCAACCAUCGACUGAAGUACUAGGCACUGAAUGAAGUGCCUCAUAUGAACUAUCCACUUAGCUCCUGCAGUAAACCCUUAAUGGCGCUAUUAGUAUCCCCAGUUUAGGGAUAGAGAAGCUAACGCUCAGAGAGAGAAAGUGAUUUGCCCAAAGCCACAGUGUUAGCAGGUGACACAACCAAGAUUCAGACCCAGGUUCUUCGUCUACCCUAACAGUAUUGCCAAAGAGAGAUUCCAAAGUUACCGCCUGGCCACUGGGUAAACCUCCGCAGCAGAGAGACCUACUUUAUGUUUCAUUUUCAAGCUCCUAUGGAGCCCAGCAGAGAGAGCUGACAAGGAGGAAUACUGCGAGGGGCUCACAGACUAAGACAAUCUGCUGGGAAAUUAGGAGUUUGAAACAUCCAACUAAGAAGCCUAAGGUUUAGACUGCAUCAUAUUCUAAUAACAACAGGAUUAUAAUAUCAAAUGAGACUCUCUGACCCUGCAAAUCUGGAACCAGCUGUAUAGGGACUUUGAACCUCCCUUUUCUCCAAUCUGCUGGUGUUUGUCAUCCUAAUAUAUACCUCAUAUUUUCUUUCUGAAAAUAAUUUUUAAAAUAUACCCAUCAUACAUACGGCAGCACAGUGUAUUCGUUUCAAUAAGAUUUACAUUCAGAAUAUUGAUAUCCAAAAAAAAAAAUUUUAAAUGGUGUUGUAUGUCUAGAUGCUAAAAAGAAAAAAAAACAUAUUUAUUACUAAAGCUGGGUGAACUUGUUAAUUAUAUAUCAGUACCAAUUUGGGAAAGGCAAGAGACUGUGCCUCCCUGGCACGAAGAAGGUGCUCCAUAAAUGCUGACGUUUCUCCCUCUGCAUGGAAAUCUCUGCUUCCUUUAGAGUAUCAAUGACAACAGUGAAAAAUAGAGUGAGCCUGACCAAACUGCAGAAAUCACCACAUACAAAGAGCACAAAGCUUGGAGGUUUGUGUGUUGUGGGACUGGGGAAUGGAGAGAAAAUAAACACCUAAAUGUGUGGGUUUGAGGAUAUAGAGAAAAUAGUUUCCAGUCCUGAUGAAACAUGCUCAGUUCUGGAUCCCCGUCUCUCACCUUGUACAAAAAUCAACUCAAGAAGGAUCAAAGACUUAAAUCUAAGACAUGAAAUUAUA